CCUACGGGAGGCAGCAGUGGGGGAUAUUGCACAAUGGGGGGAACCCUGAUGCAGCGACGCCGCGUGGGUGAAGGAGUGCUUCGGCAUGUAAAGCCCUAUCGGCAGGGAAGAAGCAAGACGGUACCUGACUAAGAAGCCCCGGCUAACUACGUGCCAGCAGCCGCGGUAAUACGUAGGGGGCGAGCGUUAUCCGGAUUCACUGGGUGUAAAGGGAGCGUAGACGGCCAAGCAAGCCAGGGGUGAAAGCCCGGGGCCCAACCCCGGGACUGCCCUUGGAACUGGGUGGCUGGAGUGCGGGAGGGGGAGGCGGAAGUCGUGGUUAAGGGGUGAAAGGCGUAGAUAGAGGGAGGAACACCGGGGGCGAAGGCGGCCUGCUGGGCCGCGACUGACGCUGAGGGUCGAAAGCGUGGGGAGCGAACAGGAUUAGAUACCCGGGUAGUC
RNAcentral lists this ribosomal RNA (441 nucleotides) under uncultured bacterium. RNAcentral's name for it is "partial 16S ribosomal RNA". It matches the Rfam family "Bacterial small subunit ribosomal RNA", at positions 338 to 795 of the family's 1533-position model. The record is from RNAcentral.